Molecule: long non-coding RNA, 2190 nt
Filed under: Phocoena sinus (vaquita)
Lineage: Eukaryota; Metazoa; Chordata; Mammalia; Artiodactyla; Phocoenidae
Description: lncRNA (ENSPSNG00000003328.1)
Source: RNAcentral
GAUGGGGCAAGGACAAGGGAGAGGGAGGAGUCAAGGACACCCUGAGCUUCCCAGCCUCAUGACAGGUGGAUGACUGCAUUCUCAUGCAAUAUCAGGAAAGAAGGAGGAAAGGCCGAAGCUGGUUUUGUAGGGGAGGGGAUGGGGGUGAGGUGGAGGUGGGGUGUGUGGGCAGGGUGGGGACGGGGAAGCUGCUGGGCUUGAUUGUACAGGAUGUGGAAUAGGGAUAGAGCCAGCCUCCCGGCAGGUCUCCCCUCUGCUCCAUCAAGUUGCACGUCCCCACCUCCCAGUCCUUGUGUCCCUCCUACCCCCCACCCCACUCCCACGUUCCUUUCCAGGGCAGGGGCCCUUUGGAGAAAUUCUUACCAGUCUGUACACUUACCUUUACUGGGCCUGAUGGGAGACACCCAGAAGAGGGGAGUGACUCGUCCACUGAGGUCAUCACUGAGACCCUUUUCAAAGUCAAAGCAACAGGUCAUUGGGUGGGGCACGACGGGCAGAAACCUGAAGCCAUGCACCGCUCUGAGGGAAGUGUUAGACGGCCCCCUUUGGAAGCUCAGUCACUCCUGGGCCAAACAGAUCUGCCAGAAAUGCUUGCUCGUCUGGAAUGUGGCCUGGGCCCUCGUUGGGGCAGUUUUGUAGGGAGGGCCCAGUGCAGGAACCGUGGCGUGAGGCCUGCAGAAAAACAGGAGACCCCUCUCAUCUCCCAGGGCUGGGAACUUUCAGAGCCUUUUCUCUACCUUUUAUCUCACAGAGUAGACCUUAAAGAAGGGAAUGCCAUGAAUCUCUCUCUUUUAUACAGAUGAAGAACUGAGAGUGAGAGAGGAGGUGACUUGCCUCAGGUCCUAUCAUAGCUGGACAGUGACAGUGGAGGAAGACUGGCCCCCGGGCAGCCCUUAGGACACCAGUGGGCAUUUGAAGCAUCUGGAACUGCUGCUUGCCACACCCCCUUCCCCAGAGCUGACCCAGGGGUUGGAUACAAUAUCUGAGCUCCCAUCUGUGGGGUCCUUCAGCUACUUGGGGCACCUGGCCCUGGAGGCAUUUCCUCUCUGACCACCAGCUGCCACCUGAUUGGCCCCAGCUUGUGGGUAGAAGGCCAGCCCUGGAAGGGCCUGUCAUGGGCAUCAGUCCUACCUCUUUUGUUGUUCAGAGGUGGAAACUGAGGCCCCGAGAUGGAAGUGACUUGUCCAAGGUCACAAAGCUUGCUAGGGACAGAGUGGAGACCAGAGCCCAGGGCUGCUGACGCCUAAGAGUCCCCUGUUCUUCCUGCCUCCGCUCCUCUCUCUGGCUCUUCGUGCUUGGCACUUAGGCUCUGAGGUGAGGUCUGGAGGAGCGGCUUGCUCCAUGGCAGGUCUUCCUCUGCUGCCCCAUGAGCACUGACUUCACUCAUGGCUCUUUCUGAAGAGAUGCCUGGUGGUGGCCACAGGGGGGCAGCAGUGGGAGGGACAGGAAGGUGGCCUUGCGGUGGACUGGGCUGAGAGGGAGAGAGGGACCUCUGAGAGCAGCCCUGGAACCAGAGCAACUGAGUGUGGGGUUAUGAGGUCUCAGGCUUGAGGAUACCCAUAAAGGGCCCUUCUAGCCUCAGGAGUGAAUCCAGGCUCCCCAACUCUCUGCCUAAGAGCCCCCAUUCAUUCACUCAUUUAGUUAUUUGUCAAUCACUUAUGGAGCACUUAUACUCUGUGCCUGGCCCUGGGCUGGUACCACUUGAUAUUCUUUCCAGCAACCUGGUGGGUGUUGAGUUCGGUGUUGGGGGGAGAAACAUGGGAAGGAGUGGCCACUGCCUGCUGAGGCCAGACCUGCAGGUCCAGGGGGCUGCCCUGGCUGGGAAAAUGCUGGCUUUGGAGCCACACAGACCUGGCUCCACCACUUCUAGCUCCUGACUCUGAGGCACGUGUCUCAAUAUCCUUUGGAAAAUAAACAUCAACGUUUAUCACUAAGAUUGUUAAAUAACAGUCCCAGAGGGGAAAGGUGGGGGCAGAGGGAUAAAUUUGGAGUUUGGGAUUAACUACUAUAUAUAAAAUGGAUAACCGACAAGGACCUAUUGUAUAGCACAGGGAACUCUACUCAAUAUUCUGUAAUAACCUUAUGGGAAAAGAAUCUGAAAGAGAAUGGAUAUAUGUAUAUGUAUAAAUGAAUCACUUUGCUGUACACCUGAAACGAACAGAACACUGUAAAUCAGCUAUACUCCAAUAU